Molecule: ribosomal RNA, 409 nt
Filed under: uncultured bacterium
Lineage: Bacteria
Description: bacterial SSU rRNA
Rfam family: Bacterial small subunit ribosomal RNA
Source: RNAcentral
AGAUUGAACGCUGGCGGCAUGCCUUACACAUGCAAGUCGAACGGUAACAGGUCUUCGGAUGCUGACGAGUGGCGAACGGGUGAGUAAUGCAUCGGAACGUGCCCAGUAGUGGGGGAUAGCCCGGCGAAAGCCGGAUUAAUACCGCAUACGACCUGAGGGUGAAAGGGGGGGAUCGCAAGACCUCUCGCUAUUGGAGCGGCCGAUGUCAGAUUAGCUAGUUGGUGGGGUAAAGGCCUACCAAGGCAACGAUCUGUAGUUGGUCUGAGAGGACGACCUGCCACACUGGGACUGAGACACGGCCCAGACUCCUACGGGAGGCAGCAGUGGGGAAUUUUGGACAAUGGGCGCAAGCCUGAUCCAGCAAUGCCGCGUGCAGGAAGAAGGCCUUCGGGUUGUAAACUGCUUUUGU